This 534-nucleotide long non-coding RNA is filed under the name Struthio camelus australis. RNAcentral's name for it is "lncRNA (ENSSCUG00000015604.1)". The record is from RNAcentral. Lineage: Eukaryota; Metazoa; Chordata; Aves; Struthioniformes; Struthionidae.
AUGGAGAAACCUUCCCACAAAGGAGCCUUGGAAAGGGUCAUUGGAGUAACCUCAACCUGCCUCUCUGCAGCUGGUGGGAAGGAUUAUGACCAGUCCCAGCUCCCCAGUGAGCCUCAUUCUACCAGAGCCUUGUACCUCAAGUGGCAGUGCUUACUUCAGCAAAGAUGCCUAUGUGCUGGCUUCCUGAGGAGAGCUGUUCUGAUGCCGGAUUUUAUAAUCAUCACGAACUUCAUUGGAAAAGAGAGAGAAAGUGAAGUCUGGAGAGUCAAAAAGCCAGGAGCUAUGGAAAGACGGCUGGCUGUCUUCAUGACUUCCAGGUCUGCAGCACGCGCAGCAGUUUCAAGGCCUUACCUCAAGGAUAUGAUUGACUGGGGAGGUAGUAGUGAGUAUAUAGAUAUCUGUGCCCAGACCUCAGUGAAAUAAUGUGACAUUCAAGAACUGAUUGAAAAAAACGAAUCUUCAGAGUCCAUGGGAGUCUGCCUGCUUCAGAUCUAGCAAAAUAAAAUAAAAAGCUCAAGAGCUUUGAGGAAUUAU